Molecule: long non-coding RNA, 395 nt
Filed under: Equus caballus (horse)
Lineage: Eukaryota; Metazoa; Chordata; Mammalia; Perissodactyla; Equidae
Description: lncRNA (ENSECAG00000057478.1)
Source: RNAcentral
CUUUGAGGGAAUUAUGCUAAGUGAAAUAAGUCAGAGGGAGAAAGUCAAAUACCAUAUGAUCUCACUCAUACAUAGAAGGAUGCAGGUCAGUUAAAGACAGAGGACAAGGAGAAGAAGAGAGGAGGAGGAAGAGGAGGAGAGAGAUGAAGCAGGGGAGAGAAGAGAAAGAAAAAACGGAAAAAAAAGAAAGGAAAGUGGAAAUGGAGGAAAGAAGAGGGAAAAGCUGAGAAGGAUAAGAAAGAAGACUUGCUGGGAAGAAUUCAGAUCUGACCUCAUGACCUCGAGAUCUGGUCACCAAUUCAGUGUUCCAUCUAACUUCUUCUCUUUUUUCCUCCUCUUUUCCCUCAGUAUUAAAGGGUCAAGAGCACGUGGUCAGUGCCUCCAUAGCACAGAAG